CCAUGCUUCCAAGAAAAGCCUCUAAGCUUCAGUUACAAAGAGACCGUACCGCAAACCGACACAGGUGGGCAGGAUGAGAAUUCUAAGGCGCUUGAGAGAACUCGGGAGAAGGAACUCGGCAAAUUAGCACCGUAACUUCGGGAUAAGGUGCGCCCUUGUAAGUUGUAGCCCCUCGCGGGCGAAGGCUGAAAGGGUUGCAGUGAAAUGGUGGCUGCGACUGUUUAAUAAAAACACAGCACUCUGCAAACACGAAAGUGGACGUAUAGGGUGUGACGCCUGCCCGGUGCCGGAAGGUUAAGUGAUGGGGUGCAAGCUCUUGAUCGAAGCCCCGGUAAACGGCGGCCGUAACGAUAACGGUCCUAAGGUAGCGAAAUUCCUUGUCGGGUAAGUUCCGACCUGCACGAAUGGCGUAACGAUGGCCACACUGUCUCCUCCCGAGACUCAGCGAAGUUGAAAUGUUUGUGAAGAUGCAAUCUCCCCGCGGCUAGACGGAAAGACCCCAUGAACCUUUACUGUAGCUUUGCAUUGGACUUUGAACCGGUCUGUGUAGGAUAGGUGGGAGGCUUUGAAGCCCGGUCGCUAGAUCGGGUGGAGCCAACCUUGAAAUACCACCCUGAUUUGUUUGAGGUUCUAACCAUGGCCUGUGAAUCCAGGUCUGGGACCGUGCAUGGUAGGCAGUUUGACUGGGGCGGUCUCCUCCCAAAGUGUAACGGAGGAGUACGAAGGUACGCUAGGUACGGUCGGACAUCGUGCUAAUAGUGCAAUGGCAUAAGCGUGCUUGACUGCGAGUCCCACAAGACGAGCAGGUACGAAAGUAGGUCAUAGUGAUCCGGUGGUUCUGUAUGGAAGGGCCAUCGCUCAACGGAUAAAAGGUACUCUGGGGAUAACAGGCUGAUACCGCCCAAGAGUUCAUAUCGACGGCGGUGUUUGGCACCUCGAUGUCGGCUCAUCACAUCCUGGGGCUGUAGCCGGUCCCAAGGGUAUGGCUGUUCGCCAUUUAAAGUGGUACGUGAGCUGGGUUUAAAACGUCGUGAGACAGUUUGGUCCCUAUCUGCCGUGGGCGCUGGAAAUUUGAGGGGACCUGCUCCUAGUACGAGAGGACCGGAGUGGACAAACCUCUGGUGUACCGGUUAUGACGCCAGUCGUAUCGCCGGGUAGCUAUGUUUGGAAGAGAUAAACGCUGAAAGCAUCUAAGCGUGAAACUCGCCUCAAGAUAAGAUUUCCCUGGGGACUCGAUCCCCCUGAAGGGUCGUUGAAGACCACAACGUUGAUAGGUCAGGUGUGGAAGCGCAGUAAUGCGUUAAGCUAACUGAUACUAAUUGCCCGUGUGGCUUGAU
RNAcentral lists this ribosomal RNA (1337 nucleotides) under metagenome. Its description in RNAcentral is "bacterial LSU rRNA". It matches the Rfam family "Bacterial large subunit ribosomal RNA", at positions 1600 to 2925 of the family's 2925-position model. The record is from RNAcentral.